Molecule: ribosomal RNA, 1491 nt
Filed under: uncultured bacterium
Lineage: Bacteria
Description: bacterial SSU rRNA
Rfam family: Bacterial small subunit ribosomal RNA
Source: RNAcentral
GAGAGUUUGAUCCUGGCUCAGGAUGAACGCUAGCUACAGGCUUAACACAUGCAAGUCGAGGGGCAGCAUGGUCUUAGCUUGCUAAGGCCGAUGGCGACCGGCGCACGGGUGAGUAACACGUAUCCAACCUGCCGUCUACUCUUGGACAGCCUUCUGAAAGGAAGAUUAAUACAAGAUGGCAUCAUGAGUCCGCAUGUUCACAUGAUUAAAGGUAUUCCGGUAGACGAUGGGGAUGCGUUCCAUUAGAUAGUAGGCGGGGUAACGGCCCACCUAGUCUUCGAUGGAUAGGGGUUCUGAGAGGAAGGUCCCCCACAUUGGAACUGAGACACGGUCCAAACUCCUACGGGAGGCAGCAGUGAGGAAUAUUGGUCAAUGGGCGAGAGCCUGAACCAGCCAAGUAGCGUGAAGGAUGACUGCCCUAUGGGUUGUAAACUUCUUUUAUAAAGGAAUAAAGUCGGGUAUGGAUACCCGUUUGCAUGUACUUUAUGAAUAAGGAUCGGCUAACUCCGUGCCAGCAGCCGCGGUAAUACGGAGGAUCCGAGCGUUAUCCGGAUUUAUUGGGUUUAAAGGGAGCGUAGAUGGAUGUUUAAGUCAGUUGUGAAAGUUUGCGGCUCAACCGUAAAAUUGCAGUUGAUACUGGAUAUCUUGAGUGCAGUUGAGGCAGGCGGAAUUCGUGGUGUAGCGGUGAAAUGCUUAGAUAUCACGAAGAACUCCGAUUGCGAAGGCAGCCUGCUAAGCUGCAACUGACAUUGAGGCUCGAAAGUGUGGGUAUCAAACAGGAUUAGAUACCCUGGUAGUCCACACGGUAAACGAUGAAUACUCGCUGUUUGCGAUAUACUGCAAGCGGCCAAGCGAAGGCGUUAAGUAUUCCACCUGGGGAGUACGCCGGCAACGGUGAAACUCAAAGGAAUUGACGGGGGCCCGCACAAGCGGAGGAACAUGUGGUUUAAUUCGAUGAUACGCGAGGAACCUUACCCGGGCUUAAAUUGCAGAUGAAUUACGGUGAAAGCCGUAAGCCGCAAGGCAUCUGUGAAGGUGCUGCAUGGUUGUCGUCAGCUCGUGCCGUGAGGUGUCGGCUUAAGUGCCAUAACGAGCGCAACCCUUGUUGUCAGUUACUAACAGGUUCUGCUGAGGACUCUGACAAGACUGCCAUCGUAAGAUGUGAGGAAGGUGGGGAUGACGUCAAAUCAGCACGGCCCCUACGUCCGGGGCUACACACGCGUUACAAUGGGAGGUACAGAGGGCCGCUACCACGCGAGUGGAUGCCAAUCCCAAAAACCUCUCUCAGUUCGGACUGGAGUCUGCAACCCGACUCCACGAAGCUGGAUUCGCUAGUAAUCGCGCAUCAGCCACGGCGCGGUGAAUACGUUCCCGGGCCUUGUACACACCGCCCGUCAAGCCAUGGGAGCCGGGGGUACCUGAAGUGCGUAACCGCGAGGAGCGCCCUAGGGUAAAACUGGUGACUGGGGCUAAGUCGUAACAAGGUAGCCG